UUGAACGCUGGCGGCAUGCCUUACACAUGCAAGUCGAACGGCAGCAUGAUCUAGCUUGCUAGAUUGAUGGCGAGUGGCGAACGGGUGAGUAAUACAUCGGAACGUGCCCUGUAGUGGGGGAUAACUAGUCGAAAGAUUAGCUAAUACCGCAUACGACCUGCGGGUGAAAGUGGGGGACCGCAAGGCCUCAUGCUAUAGGAGCGGCCGAUGUCUGAUUAGCUAGUUGGUGAGGUAAAGGCUCACCAAGGCGACGAUCAGUAGCUGGUCUGAGAGGACGAUCAGCCACACUGGGACUGAGACACGGCCCAGACUCCUACGGGAGGCAGCAGUGGGGAAUUUUGGACAAUGGGCGAAAGCCUGAUCCAGCAAUGCCGCGUGUGUGAAGAAGGCCUUCGGGUUGUAAAGCACUUUUGUCCGGAAAGAAAUGGCUCUGGUUAAUACCUGGGGUCGAUGACGGUACCGGAAGAAUAAGGACCGGCUAACUACGUG
This 489-nucleotide ribosomal RNA is filed under the name uncultured bacterium. RNAcentral's name for it is "partial 16S ribosomal RNA". It matches the Rfam family "Bacterial small subunit ribosomal RNA", at positions 30 to 507 of the family's 1533-position model. The record is from RNAcentral.